CUACGGGGGGCUCUAGUGAGGAAUAUUGGUCAAUGGGCGCGAGCCUGAACCAGCCAUCCCGCGUGCAGGAUGACGGCCCUAUGGGUUGUAAACUGCUUUUCUAUGCCAAGAAACCUGAUUACGUGUAAUCAGUUGCCGGUAGCAUAGGAAUAAGCAUCGGCUAACUCCGUGCCAGCAGCCGCGGUAAUACGGAGGAUGCAAGCGUUAUCCGGAUUCAUUGGGUUUAAAGGGUGCGCAGGUGGGCUUGUAAGUCAGUGGUGAAAUGCUGCCGCUUAACGGUAGAACUGCCAUUGAUACUGCGAGGCUUGAGUAUGGUUGAGGUAGGCGGAAUGUGUUGUGUAGCGGUGAAAUGCAUAGAUAUGACACAGAACGCCAAUUGCGAAGGCAGCUUACUAAGCCAUUACUGACGCUGAGGCACGAAAGCGUGGGGAGCGAACAGGAUUAGAUACCCCGGUAGUC
This 459-nucleotide ribosomal RNA is filed under the name uncultured bacterium. RNAcentral describes it as "partial 16S ribosomal RNA". It matches the Rfam family "Bacterial small subunit ribosomal RNA", at positions 339 to 795 of the family's 1533-position model. The record is from RNAcentral.